UACGUAGGGUGCGAGCGUUGUCCGGAAUUACUGGGCGUAAAGAGUUCGUAGGCGGUUUGUCGCGUCGUUCGUGAAAACUUGGGGCUUAACUCCAAGCGUGCGGGCGAUACGGGCAGACUUGAGUACUACAGGGGAGACUGGAAUUCCUGGUGUAGCGGUGAAAUGCGCAGAUAUCAGGAGGAACACCGGUGGCGAAGGCGGGUCUCUGGGUAGUAACUGGACGCUGAGGAACGAAAGCGUGGGUAGCGAACAGG
Molecule: ribosomal RNA, 254 nt
Filed under: uncultured bacterium
Lineage: Bacteria
Description: partial 16S ribosomal RNA
Rfam family: Bacterial small subunit ribosomal RNA
Source: RNAcentral